UUAUCUGUGUUUUAUUUCUCUGUUCUCUGUGUAUAAACACUACAUCCACUUCCUCGUCCUCAAGCCUGGAAGAGGCAGGGCCGCUCUGUCGCCACCUGCCGGUUCGGCCUGUAAUUUACAAAUACCGACCCGAAGAAAACCGGAGCAAAACCCCCAAAAACGGCACAGCUGCGGAGCUGCGGAGUAGUUUGGAGCCUUUUCUAAAACAACAGCUUCGCAAAGUCAAGCUGGAAAUAGGUAGACCGGUUUACGAGCAGUCAAAGCUGUCGGCCUUUUCGAAUUUUCCGUUCCACCUUAAAUAGUGCAGCAGUCACAUUCUGGCGCCUCAGGUAUGUAUGUAACUGCUGUACCAUUUAAGGUGGAACGGAAAAUUCGAACGGUAAGCUGGCGAAUAGCAAGCUAACGGCCAGUUUUGCUGCUUUAAAGGGUAAAAUAUGAUGCAUUUCGUUUGAGUUUGAUGGUUUAGUUGGAUUAUAACAGCAACUUCGACUGGUUUAUCAGCCAAAUCCAGUCGGUCAACCAUCUCAGACGAGCUAAAAGGAGCUAGCUCCCAACAUCAGCAGUAUCUGCUCCUCACCGCUGAAGAUACUCAGCGCGGUGCAGGAUGGAGAGCAGAUCUACGAAGGAGGGAGAGGUUUUCCUGCAGCUCCACCUGCUGUACGACUCUGAAACGUCCUGCACCAAGUCAGUAGGAACUGAUCUCUCCAUGGACGACAUCAGAAACCUGCAGGCUGAAGUGUGGAGGCUGAGAGACACUCUCUAAGGAGGAGAUGGAGGACGUACCCGUCCUGUGUUCAGUCUGUAAAGCGAAACUAAACCACACUGAAGCCCAGAACUCUGAACUCACAGCUGGAGACCAGAGUAUACAUACCGGACUCUGUGAGUGAGAGUGAGCAGCAGGACUCGGUGCAGGACGUGGAGCAGGACAGAGGCAGCCUCUCUCUGCAGUGCUACACUGACCCAAACCCUACAGAGAGUGUGGCCUCCGGCUGUACCGCUGCAGCUCAGCCCCCCUUAAAGACGUGUUCAGUGAGGCUGGAGGACUGCAGGACCAUGAUGGAGCUGAGUGGACGCAUCUCAGCAGAAGGAGAACGGAGCGACGGGGACGGCAGUGAUCAUGAAGACGAUGACUUUGUUCCCCACAGUGAUGAUGAGAACUGGUUGCCUUCGUCUGAAGAUCAUGGAAGAAGGAACCAAAGUCCAUUGUAUGGCUUGCAGGUUCAGGAGGCGGUUCACAGUGAGGUGAAGCGGUUUCACUGUUCGCUGUGCGAGAAGAGUUUUUCCACUUCAGGAACUUGGAAAACACACAUAAAACGACACAAGAUGGAGAUGGACUUCCACUGCGAGGAGUG
Long non-coding RNA from Colossoma macropomum (tambaqui), 1352 nucleotides. RefSeq lists it as uncharacterized. The record is from RefSeq and is a predicted model, not a curated record. The transcript is spliced from 4 exons. NCBI's taxonomy places the organism in Eukaryota, Metazoa, Chordata, Actinopteri, Characiformes, Serrasalmidae.